RNAcentral lists this ribosomal RNA (538 nucleotides) under uncultured bacterium. RNAcentral describes it as "partial 16S ribosomal RNA". It matches the Rfam family "Bacterial small subunit ribosomal RNA", at positions 355 to 881 of the family's 1533-position model. The record is from RNAcentral.
UGGGGAAUUUUGGACAAUGGGCGAAAGCCUGAUCCAGCAAUGCCGCGUGUGUGAAGAAGGCCUUCGGGUUGUAAAGCACUUUUGUCCGGAAAGAAAUCCUUGGCUCUAAUACAGUCGGGGGAUGACGGUACCGGAAGAAUAAGCACCGGCUAACUACGUGCCAGCAGCCGCGGUAAUACGUAGGGUGCAAGCGUUAAUCGGAAUUACUGGGCGUAAAGCGUGCGCAGGCGGUUUGCUAAGACCGAUGUGAAAUCCCCGGGCUCAACCUGGGAACUGCAUUGGUGACUGGCAGGCUAGAGUAUGGCAAAGGGGGGUAGAAUUCCACGUGUAGCAGUGAAAUGCGUAGAGAUGUGGAGGAAUACCGAUGGCGAAGGCAGCCCCCUGGGCCAAUACUGACGCUCAUGCACGAAAAGCGUGGGGGAGCAAAACAGGAUUAGAUACCCUGGUAGUCCACGCCCUAAACGAUGUCAACUAGGUUGUUGGGGAUUCAUUUUCCUUAGUAACGUAGCUAACGCGUGAAGUUGACCGCCUGGGGAGU